This 339-nucleotide ribosomal RNA is filed under the name uncultured bacterium. Its description in RNAcentral is "bacterial SSU rRNA". It matches the Rfam family "Bacterial small subunit ribosomal RNA", at positions 470 to 793 of the family's 1533-position model. The record is from RNAcentral.
GUACGUUAGCGACAGAAGAAGACACCGGCUAACUCCGUGCCAGCAGCCGCGGUAAGUACGGAGGGUGCGAGCGUUAAUCGGAAUUACUGGGCGUAAAGACGCAUGCAGGUGGUUUGUUAAGUUCAGAUGUGAAAGACCCGGGGCGUCAACCUCCGGAAAUUGCAUUUGUAAACUAGGCAGACUAGAGUACUGUAGAGGGGGGUAGGAAGUUUCUAGGUGUAGCGGUGAAAUAGCGUAGAGAUCUGAAGGAAUACCGGUGGCGAAGGCGGCCCCCUCGGACAGAUACUGACACUCAGAUGCGAAAGCGUGGGGAGCAAACAGGAUUAGAUACCCUGGUAG